Molecule: small nuclear RNA, 187 nt
Organism: Magnolia sinica
Lineage: Eukaryota; Viridiplantae; Streptophyta; Magnoliopsida; Magnoliales; Magnoliaceae
Product: U2 spliceosomal RNA
Exons: 1
Source: RefSeq, a predicted model, not a curated record
AUACCUUUCUCAGCCUUUUGGCUAUGAUCAAGUGUAGUAUCUGUUCUUAUCAGUUUAAUAUCUGAUACGUGGGCCAUCGGCUCACAUGAUAUUAAAUUAAUUUCUGAUGGGGGAGGGCCCACCAGAGUAGCUUGCUAUUGGCUGUCGCCCUUGUGUUGCACUAUUGCGUGGGCUAGGUGCACCCCAA